AGUCUGGUGCCAGCAGCCGCGGUAAUUCCAGCUCAAGUAGCGUACAUUAAAGUUGUUGCGGUUAAAGCGCUCCUAGUCGAAAGUGUGGCUGAUGCGCGUGGGGCGGCUUUGGGGCCGGACUCGCGGGCGUUGGUUGUUUGUGUGGGUGCUGGGGUGUGCCAUUAGGUUGGUGUGUCCCGCGUAGGUGCCUGCUCGUUUACUGUGAACAAAUUAGAGUGUUCGAAGCAGCCUGUAGCGGCGUGAAUAUCCUAGCAUGGAAUAAUGGAAUAGGACGGAGGUUCGUUUAUUUCGUUGGUUUGGAGGGCCAUCUGUAAUGAUUGAUAGGAACAGUCAGGAGGCUUGAUAUUCGGAAGUCAGAGGUGAAAUUCUUAGAUUUUCCGAGGAUCAACCGGUGCGAAGGCAUUGCCUAGGGAUGUUUUCAUUGAUCAAGAACGAAAGUCGGGGGUUCGAAGACGAUCAGAUACCGUCGUAGUCUCGACCGUAAACCAUGGUAGCUCGCGGUGCUCUGGGUAUUUUCAUUAUGAUGGCCCAGGGCGAAGCGUGUGGAAACUAAAGCGUUUGACCCCCUGGGGGACUAUGGUCGCAAGGCUGAAACUUGAAGAAAUUGACGGAAGGGCACCACCAGCGGUGGAGCCUGCGGCUCAAUUUGACCCAACACGGGGAAACUCACCAGGUCCAGAGUGCAUGAGGAUUGACAGCUCGAAGUGCUUUCUUGAUUUGUACGAAGGUGGUGCAUGGCUGUUCUUAGUUGGUGGAGUGAUCUGUCUGGUUAAUUCCGAUAACGAACGAGACCUCGAGGGGGUGUUCCGGCGCCUGCCCCGUGUGGGCGGAGUGUCGGUCCUCCUCCGACUGCAGCUGUUGUAAGUUGCGGAGGUUCGAGGCAAUAACAGGUCUGUGAUGCCCUUAGAUGUUCUGGACUGCACGCGCGCUACACUGUGCAAGACAGCGAGUUUUCUGUUUCUGCCUCGGAAGGGGUGGAUAAUCUUGUUAGACUUGUACGUGACUGGGACCGACCAUUGUAAUUAGGGUCGCGAACGAGGAAUCCCUAGUAAGAGCGGUUCAACAGAUCGCUCUGAUUACGUCCCUGCCCUUUGUACACACCGCCCGUCGCUUCUACCGAUUGGAUGGACGGGUAAGGAACUGGGACCUGCUCUUUUGUCGUUUGGCGGGGGAGCGGGGAACUUUUUCGUAUCUUUCUAUCUAGAGGAAGAAGAAGUCGU
This 1220-nucleotide ribosomal RNA is filed under the name metagenome. RNAcentral describes it as "SSU rRNA". It matches the Rfam family "Eukaryotic small subunit ribosomal RNA", at positions 558 to 1792 of the family's 1831-position model. The record is from RNAcentral.